RNAcentral lists this ribosomal RNA (253 nucleotides) under uncultured bacterium. Its description in RNAcentral is "partial 16S ribosomal RNA". It matches the Rfam family "Bacterial small subunit ribosomal RNA", at positions 524 to 776 of the family's 1533-position model. The record is from RNAcentral.
UACAGAGGGUGCGAGCGUUAAUCGGAAUUACUGGGCGUAAAGGGUGCGUAGGUGGUUGUAUCAGUUAGGUGUGAAAUUCCCGGGCUUAACCUGGGGACUGUGCUUAAUACUGUACGACUAGAGUCUUGUAGAGGAAGGUGGAAUUUCCGGUGUAGCGGUGAAAUGCGUAGAUAUCGGAAGGAACAUCAGUGGCGAAGGCGACCUUCUGGACAAAGACUGACACUGAGGCACGAAAGCGUGGGGAGCAAACAGG